RNAcentral lists this ribosomal RNA (440 nucleotides) under uncultured bacterium. RNAcentral's name for it is "partial 16S ribosomal RNA". It matches the Rfam family "Bacterial small subunit ribosomal RNA", at positions 338 to 795 of the family's 1533-position model. The record is from RNAcentral.
CCUACGGGUGGCAGCAGUGGGGGAUAUUGCACAAUGGGGGGAACCCUGAUGCAGCGACGCCGCGUGGGUGAAGAAGCGCCUCGGCGCGUAAAGCCCUGUCAGCAGGGAAGAAAAUGACGGUACCUGAAGAAGAAGCCCCGGCUAACUCAGUGCCAGCAGCCGCGGUAAUACGUAGGGGGCAAGCGUUAUCCGGAUUUACUGGGUGUAAAGGGGGCGCAGGCGGCGAUGCAAGCCAGGAGUGAAAGCCCGGGGGCCAACCCCGGGACUGCUCUUGGAACUGCGUGGCUGGAGUGCAGGUGGGGCAGGCGGAAUUCCUGGUGUAGCGGUGAAAUGCGUAGAUAUCAGGAGGAACACCGGUGGCGAAGGCGGCCUGCUGGACUGCAACUGACGUUGAGGCCCGAAAGCGUGGGGAGCAAACAGGAUUAGAUACCCGGGUAGUC